AUACGGAGGAUCCGAGCGUUAUCCGGAUUUAUUGGGUUUAAAGGGUGCGUAGGCGGAAAAAUAAGUCAGUUGUGAAAGUUUGCGGCUCAACCGUAAAAUUGCAGUUGAUACUGUUUUUCUUGAGUGUACAUAAGGUAGGCGGAAUUCGUGGUGUAGCGGUGAAAUGCGUAGAUAUUAGGAGGAACACCAGUAGCGAAGGCGGCUUUCUGGACUGUAACUGACACUGAGGCACGAAAGCGUGGGGAGC
RNAcentral lists this ribosomal RNA (247 nucleotides) under uncultured bacterium. RNAcentral describes it as "partial 16S ribosomal RNA". It matches the Rfam family "Bacterial small subunit ribosomal RNA", at positions 523 to 769 of the family's 1533-position model. The record is from RNAcentral.